CCUACGGGAGGCAGCAGUAAGGAAUAUUGGUCAAUGGACGCAAGUCUGAACCAGCCAUGCCGCGUGAAGGAUUAAGGUCCUCUGGAUUGUAAACUUCUUUUAUUUGGGACGAAAAAGGGCCUUUCUAGGUCAACUGACGGUACCAGAUGAAUAAGCACCGGCUAACUCCGUGCCAGCAGCCGCGGUAAUACGGAGGGUGCAAGCGUUAUCCGGAUUCACUGGGUUUAAAGGGUGCGUAGGCGGGUAGGUAAGUCAGUGGUGAAAUCCUAGAGCUUAACUCUAGAACUGCCAUUGAUACUAUCUAUCUUGAAUAUUGUGGAGGUAAGCGGAAUAUGUCAUGUAGCGGUGAAAUGCUUAGAUAUGACAUAGAACACCUAUUGCGAAGGCAGCUUACUACGCAUAUAUUGACGCUGAGGCACGAAAGCGUGGGGAUCAAACAGGAUUAGAUACCCUGGUAGUCCACGCCCUAAACCUAUGGAUACUCGACAUUUGUGUAUACACAAUAAGUAGUCUGAGCGAAGACGAGUUAAGUAUACCACCGUAACGGUAAGGUACGUUCCGCGAGAGUUAGAACGUUACGAAGGAAGUUAGACGGCGUUGAGACGNGCGACGGACGACGACGAGGGAGGAGGAG
This 634-nucleotide ribosomal RNA is filed under the name uncultured bacterium. RNAcentral describes it as "bacterial SSU rRNA". The stretch from base 1 to 540 matches the Rfam family "Bacterial small subunit ribosomal RNA", at positions 338 to 873 of the family's 1533-position model. The record is from RNAcentral.